Molecule: small RNA, 1034 nt
Filed under: uncultured fungus
Lineage: Eukaryota; Fungi
Description: eukaryotic LSU rRNA
Rfam family: Eukaryotic large subunit ribosomal RNA (bases 737-1034)
Source: RNAcentral
GGAAGGAUCAUUAUCGAAGAGAAAUCCGGAGGGGAAGAUGAACGAGAGAAUUUUGAUUAGGGACUGUCGCUGGCCUUUGGUAACGAAGGCAUGUGCACGUCUCGAAGUCUUGCAAUUUUAGUACCUCGAUCUCUUUCCUUUCGCGAACCCCUUUUCUUACACCUGUGCACCCAUUGUAGGUCCCACGAGGGAUCUAUGUUCUAUCUAUCUACUCUUAAACGUAUGGCCUAGAAUGUCUUGAAACGUCGUCCGGCCUGGCUAUAACGCUUGGUUGGCGGCAGUAAAGAACUUUAUACAACUUUCAGCAACGGAUCUCUUGGCUCUCGCAUCGAUGAAGAACGCAGCGAAUUGCGAUACGUAAUGUGAAUUGCAGAUUUUCAGUGAAUCAUCGAAUCUUUGAACGCACCUUGCGCUCCUUGGUAUUCCGAGGAGCAUGCCUGUUUGAGUGUCAUUAAAUUCUCAACCAUCCUUUGAUUCAUUUCGAGGGUUGGCUUGGAUCUUGGGGGUUGCCGGGGGAGACUCACUGGGGUCGUCGGCUCUCCUUAAAAGUAUUAGCGAACGGGUGUGACGAGCUUCGUGCAUGAACGGCCUUCGACGUGAUAAUGAUCGUCGUGGCUGGGAGUGCCUUUGGAGAGGCUUGGAUCGUCUUUUGCUUUCUAAUAUUCUGAAUCGUAGAGGGGAGGGAAACUCUGCUCCGGCGGACGAAACUUUUCUUUACUUUUCUACUUUUGACUUUUGACCUCAAAUCAGGUAGGACUACCCGCUGAACUUAAGCAUAUCAAUAAGCGGAGGAAAAGAAACUAACAAGGAUUCCCCUAGUAACUGCGAGUGAAGCGGGAAGAGCUCAAAUUUUGAAUCUGGUGGUCCUUGCGGCCGUCCGAGUUGUAAUCUAGAGAAGCGUCUUCCGCGCUGGACCGUGUACAAGUCUCCUGGAAAGGGAGCGUCAUAGAGGGUGAGAAUCCCGUCUUUGACACGGACUACCAGGCUAUGUGAUGCGCUCUCGACGAGUCGAGUUGUUGGGGAAUGCAGCUCAA